CAUUCUGCCUUUUCUAUUUUACCCAGAGAUCAAAUGUGGUAUCUUGCAACACUGUCACAGAGCCACAUGGAUAGGUGUUCCUCCCGACAGCUGCUCCUGUUGGAGGUAGCAGCUCCCAUGUAGCUGCUUCUGCACGUGGAAACUGCAGUGACAGACAACAAAACCAGGAUGACUUUUAGGCCCAGUAUUUUUAUUGCUGGGCUGGCAGCUGUAACUGCUCCCAGAGUCUGGCUUGCAGGAGAUGUCCUGGAAGCUCUUUGUGCAAUGCACGGAAUAACACAAGCGAGCAAGGCAAAACCAAAAGCAGGAUGCAGCAGUACUGAUGCCACUGAAAGCUUACACAGAGGUGAGAGUCAUUACGGCUUGUGGUCAAAGUUGUUUAUUUUUUUCUUGUCACAGGAUGUCAGACAAUACGAGGCCUUUUAGCAGCAUUUCAGACUUUUUGCUUUCCUUUCGAGUCAACAGAAACUCAGCUGCCUGAAGGUGGGUGAGGCCAAACAGCAGCACAAACCUUCCUCUGGAGGAAGGGACCCGAUCCCACUAACCUGCUCCACUGAGGUGCUGUGCAGCUUCAAUGCCAAGACACUGAUUUGAUAACUGUGGUUUCUUCUUACUGACCUGGCUGGGAAAAGCUGCCUUGUUGCUCAACAGCACUUUGUCUUCAUGAUUUAUAUGUUGCUUGACACAGCUAAGCAUGAUGCUGCAGUGUGAGAACUGCUUGCUGGCCGGCCGGCUGCAUGAGCUUCUCCACAGAAAGGUCUGUGCUGCGAACUGCUUUACUACCAACUGGGGCUUCUGCAAGAAAAGAAUGCAUCAGAAACACAAGAAUGUGUACGUUUGUUGUCAUGUUCCAUUCAAAAUAUGUAAAAGGAAAAAAAACUGUAAUUAACGUUGCAUUUAAGCCUGCUUGACUGUACUAAGCAUGACCUACAAGCCCAAGGAAUGCUACUGAGAUUUCCCUGAAAAAUGUUGAAACCGUUUAUUUGCCUGCUGAAUGGACUGAUUUUGAGAUAUGAGCAUGCUUUCCAUCGAAGAACAUCCUGAAAUUAAUUUCAGUUAAUGCCAUUUAUAUUACUCACUCUUCCCUGUUGAACUGGGCGUCCUGGAUUUCAACAUAUGCUGCUGUGCUGUGUAUUCCAGCUGUGACUGCAGCAGUGCUAAAUGUGUCUGCUUGAUGGAGAGCAUUAGCAGAACUCGGAUGUAGUCCAUCUAUUAGAUGGUUCUCCAGGAGGUGACAUUUCUGCACAGCUCAUCAGUGACAUCCCCUAUUCCCUCUCUUGGCCACAUUUGCAAGCUUCCAAACGUGUUUGUGAAUGUGACCAAAUUCUGGCCCUCGAGAUCAAAGGUCUGUCCACAUCUCUCUCUGGCACUACAGAUCUGGGAUGCUGCAAGCCAGUAUUCAAGAAUCCUGUCAAACUUGAGCAUAUCUGUGAUUUAUAAUGUAGAAAACCAUGUAGACUCUCAUCAUACACUUAGUACUCAACAGUCUACAGAAGCAGAACCUACCAAGAAAGCAAAUGUCAAAAAAGCAGCGUGAGCAAAGUUAAGAAUCUUCCACGUAAGGGGAUAUGUUUCUGGCUUGGAGCCAACCGGGGAGAAGAAGAAAUUCCUAAAUAUAGGAGCCCGGAAGGUGUGAAAGAACUGUUGGAUGCUGAAGUAUGUCAGGGACAAGAUUGGUGAUGAGUAAGAGCUUCCGCUGCUGGAAGCGGAGCGUGCUGGCAGGUAGCAGACUCCGUGAUCUUCUGAACAAGGAACAAAUCCUUGCUGAUCCUCCCCUAGUUGUGACAGUAAGUAUAAAUAUAUGAAAUCACCGAAAGAGGGAGUGAUGCUUGAGCACUCGUUUAAGAGUUCUGGCAACCUGACAGCAGUAAGCUCCACUUCCAAGUGAUGUAGAAGCAAUUUUCACUCUUGUGAAAACUCCCAUUUCUGAAAGUAGAUUGCCAAAAUAACUGAUGUUGAUCAUAUGGGACUGUGUGUCAUGCAUCGCAUAUAUCCGCUUAUUUGCUCUUUUUUGAUUUUGGUUUUGUUUAUCCAAAAAUAAUGGUAUCCUAUUGACAAAGGAUUCUUAUUUUUUUGUCAUAAGCACACAGCAAUACAGUGUUUUUUUCACACAGUACAGAGCCAUCCAUGUGUUUCUGUGUCAAGAAAUGCAGCGAUAACUUCUGCUCUGUCUGCUUACAGGAAUAGCUACUGCUUGAUGCCAGUCUGUAUUAUCUGCACUUCCCUCUGUCACUGAGAUGGGCUGGCUCAGCAGAACAAGUAUGAGCACAUAAGAGUGACAUUUUGUGUUUCUGAGGUAGUAAUAUCUUAAUUACUCUUAAAUCGUGAGCUUUUUGAGCAUUUUAUAUAUUGCAUAUACAUAUACAUUACCUAUUAUAUAUAAUAGAAGGGAAAGAUGAUUACAAGCACAAGAGAAGACACAUCACCUAAGAGUGCUGUAAGAAAAGAUCAGUGUGGAGGUAGAAACUCCUGUGAAGCUUACAGCAGGAAAGACCUGCCAUGGCCAAAUGCACAAGUUUGUUUCCCCUUAACAACUGUCAAUGGUUUUAAGAUUUUGAGAUGUAAUCAGUUACAGAGAUAACAAUCUCAAGGUAAAACAGAUACAGCUGCUGCCGUGGAACUAUCCUUUCAUUUCUUCCCCGUAUUCAGAGCAUUUUCAACAUUAAUUUUCACAUACACUUUAUGUCACAUAAUUUCUCUCUCAACAUUUAUUUAUUUGUACGUGAUUUUUAUGCUUACAGCUUACAAGCUAUCUGCCACAAAAGCUUUAAGAAUGCAGAAUGGAUUUCUCUACGGUCAUGAUCCGAAGGGAAUUUUAUCAGGGAGUUUCUGGGUUUGUUAUGGAGCAAAAGGUAAACAAAGGCACCUACAAGCUGGGAAGAUGGGCUUAGAUUUACCUGGGGCAGAUGGAUGCUGUCCUUACCAUGAACCCACGGCUCUUCUCUCCACCUGCAGAAUGUAUUUGUUCUUCUGUUGUACUGCACUUCUGCACUGAGAAUGAAGAGACUCAGUCCUGCUAAUAGACUGAGAAAAGAGAUUAAGCAUACAAGCUAAGGAUUCUGCAUAUUGAAAUACAGUAAAUCUGAAAAAUACUGGAAGACAUUGGUGGUUUGCUGGAGGUAAGGUUUAAUUUUGCACUGAAAAUACGGUAUUAUGGUAUGUAUUCUGCCCUAAAUCAUAGCAUUAGGCCUGGGAGUAUUAAACCAUUUUUUGGGAACUUACAGAUAGCAAUUUAUAAUUAGGGAUGAAUUAAAGAAGUCUAAUAGAGUACACAGAGAAACCCUGAAUGUAAAGUAAUAGGUUUUGGGGUUGUUGCCACAUUGUACUUUAAAUCCCUGCCAGAUAGUUUUGACUCGUAUUUUAACAUGAUUUGUUUGGAAAUAAACCAGAAAUUAGCAACACACUGCCAGGCUAUGCAGUAUUUCAGUCUGAAUGGUGUCCACUUACUUACAUUCUAACUUACAAUUUUCAUGUGGUCCUUUUCCUCAGAGUCAUGAACUAACGACUAAUUCACACCAUUAGCAUGUUGCCACUGCAAACUGGCAAUAAGAAGAAAAAAGAGGAAAAAUGCAGUGUGUAAAGAGCUUGCUCACUCGUCAGAGUUUUCAAUAUGAACAAUAUGCAACACCAAAUGUUCUGUGGUACAUCUUCACAAGUCUUAGAAAUGGGAGGCUUUGUAACAGCGUGCCUCCAUCCCUUUCUAGGAAGGGAAAGAACAACGCCAUUUUAUGCUUUAACAAGCUGUCAUAAUGGGUAAUGACUUCAUAAGAGCAUAUAGAGGAAGUGGAAUACGUACAUUUAAUCAAAUAAAAUUAGUGACUGUAUUUAGCUAUUCAGUGUAGUGCCUUCACGAAGGAUAGCGCUCAAUGGUGAGUCACACAAAUCCCAUGAAUGCUGUUGGCCGUGGGUACAGUAGAUACAGUGGGCUUGGUGAGUUCAUAAGAAGCCUCACAUUUUGCUCAUCAUUUAAGAUGAUGGGAGAGGAGGAACAAUUUUUUAGCAUCUUCAUCCUUCACCUCUAUGCAAAUUUACAAUUCAGCUGCACAUUUCCUAGCACUGAGAUGGGAAUGGCUUUGAAGGCCUACAUAGAAAGUGUCCUUCCUCGAAUAGAGUACCAUCUAACUUAAUGACAAACAUAUACAAAAAUGUAGAGUGCCUGUUUUAGUAAAAACACACUAUUUUUAAUGCAGAUCUUUGGCCAACUGAUCGGACCUCCAUCUAACUUCCUGAGGACAAUAUUCUUCUCAGGAGCUAUAUUAUUGUCUCUCAGGUUACCUGUCUAUUUCACUAGUGUAAGCUCCUCAGCAAUUUGGGCUGCAUCAUUUCCACAAUGCUUGCAACAGUUUGACCUACCAUCAUUUAUGCAAAAAGAUGUGCUUGAGCACUGGACUACAUCACAGAAAUCUGCAUUUUGUUCUUCCAUCUGCAGGUCACCUGGACAGGUACCUGGCAAGGCUAUCUCCCUGUGCCUCAGCUGCUUCACCUGCAAAGUGGGGAUAAUGACAUUCAGUCGCUUUUUAAAACCAUUUUAAGGUAUACAUAAUUAAUUGCUUAGCAGUGUGGAUUCUCCCUGGGGGAUAUCAUGCAGCUGCCAAUAAAUUGACUCAUCCACUUUCCUAUUACCGUUUUUAUUUAAACAUUCACUAUUUUUUUUUCCUGUGACAUAGCAAAACACCCAUUUUGCCAAACAGCAAUUGCAAGGAAGAUUUUAUCCAGCACAAGAGUAAUUAGAAUCGUGGAGAAGUGAUGAGAUUGCCAUCAGCUCUGAGCUUAAGGGACUGUCCUGUAUUUUAAGUUCAAGAAAUCCAAGCAGCAAAAAGAGUUUCCAGUUCAAGUCUGCCCUCCGCUGGCAUUAAUGAAACACUGCUAAUGAAUUUUGAAUCAAUAUUGUCUUUGUGUAACAAAGGAGGGGAACUAAAUCCAUAGAGGCUGACACAGAUGACACCUUUAGAUAACUUUAUUUUUUUUCAUUUUUUAUAAUAAAGACUUUGUAAAUAUCUUCUUUUAAAGGCUCAUGUAGGCUCACUGCCUGAUUCCUAUUCUUCAGGCUUUUGAAAGCCUGCCAGCAUUUCAUUCCCAUCAGACAGCUGCCAAAACUAACAUACACGCGAGAAGUAAUUUUCUGCACAUGUUUUUUAAGGGAUUUAAUAGAAAAGCUGCAGAAAAAUACUAUGCUAUGAUACAAUUAACAAUUCUAAUAUACUGUGCUAUACAUGUCAGCCCAGUAAUAACGUCAUAAAAGAGACCAGUGUCAGUCUAGUCUAGCAUUCUCUCACUACAAGCAAGUUUUCCUUCUGAUAUGUCAAAGACCAACUUGUUUAUUUUAGAGAGAACUUUCCAUCACAGAUCCCACAUGCAAUUAACAUGUCUCUUCACUCAGGAGGACUCAUUUUCUAUAUUUCAAGCAGGAAGGUAAUUGGAAAAUGAUACUUACUCACACGGAUUCACGUAGUACGAUUUCAAUCCCAAAGUGGCAUUUGUGUCUGGAAUAUAAAAUUUGUACUGCGAUGAAUUGGGAGAUAAGGCACCUCUGCUUCAUUUUUCUUGUCAUCCUCACGCUUCGUUAUGCUUAACUGCAUUUAAUCUCCUGCGACUGCUACUUAAGCCUAAAACGAAGGAGUAAAAUGCAAUUUUGUUGGAUGUACAGCUAAUGCACACUCGAAUAAAUGUGAAGAAAAAAUGUAUUAGAGAACAAUAAUUUUAUUUUGGCCCUUUGAAAGCCUGAAAAUCAGGCUCAGAUUUGUAGUCUGUGCCAAGUAUGACUAACAGACUUCAUAAUGCAGAGCACAAGGAAUUUUCAAAAGUUGCUUGAACGUCCUAUCCAUCUGAUAAAAUUACUGCAGAAAUGACUAUGUGACUAUGAUUGAAAAUAAAAACUUCAGGAGUACAUAUAACAUUCCAUAAGAAGCAGUGAAAGGCACACAGCAAAUCUGUUGUUACCUCUUUUCUUCUUCUUUAGGCAGGAAGCUAUGCCAAAGUCUACUCAAAUCCCAUUAAUUAGUGCCAUAUGCACAGUUGCUACAAAUCAUCCUCCUCAACUGGACUGAAAAAAUAGCCCUUGUAUCCAGAAUGUCUCGAUUUUGCCCUUGUAGAUCAGCUAUAGGAGCUUUUUAAUAAUCCCAAGUGAAAAGCAACAGCAAUGGCACACUGAAACACCAGUGAGUAAUUUGCCAAAUGGUGACAGUACUCAAUGCAUUACUGGAAAGAGUCUAAAAGAACAUUACAGAUAAGUGUUUCGGGCUGUCAGUAUGUCAGUGCUGAGAGGAGAUGCUUUGAAAAAAGGAAGAUGUGUAUGAAUUUUAAUUACAAUUCUUAUUUUUCAGAUGCUCCACUUCCGUGUUCUGUAUCAAAGGGAAAUACUUCACUUUCAUAUACACUUUUGCGUAACUGAUGACAAAGUCCUUACAUUCUCUGCUUUAAGACUGCUGUUUCUCCUUCACCGGCUUCAGGAGCUGGAAUGAAAAAGAACAUCAUUAUUGCGUUUGCUCUCAAUGCCAUAUUAAAUCUCAAUCCUCUCGUCCCCCAGUCUGCAUGUACAGCCAGGAUGGCCCCAGCCCAGGUACAGAAUGCAGCGCUUGCUCUUGUUAAACUUCAUGUGGUUGAUUAUUGCCAGCCCUUCAAUUUGUUGAGAUCUCUGUGCAAGGCAGAUAUCCAAUACCCUACAGUGGUACAGCCAAUUGAGUAUCACAAAGAAAAUCAUAUGAAAGAGACAGUAAUCAAGACCGAAAUAAAUGCAUAUGCAUCUCUGCUCUGUAUUUCAAAUAUGUUUUGAAAACACGCUACAUUAAGAAACCCAAACACAUUUCAAUUCAAGUAAUGUUGCUUUUACAACCAUCGAGAGAAAAUGAGAUGUGGUAGAACUCUGCCACUUCCCAAGCAGCACAAUCACACAGCCUUAGUCUUUUUCUGGCUUCAGUAGUGCUUUCCAUUUCUAUUGAUCUCUGUGAAAUGUGGUCUCUACAAACGGAAAAGGCGCAUUUCCCAGACCAGUGGUGCUGCAGAGUAGCUGGGAUCUAUUAAAUGAAUGGGAAUAUUAAAAUGGAAUGGAAGAAAAGGACCAUCCUUACAAGUGCACAAUAGAUGGUUUAACCAUCAUAAUUAAGUAAAAUGUGAAGUCCAGUCAUAACACACUACAGACGUGAGAAAUGAGAGCUAUCAAGGAGAGUUUCUGUUCUCUGAAAACAACUCCUUGAUAUGUGAAGGAAAGGAUGGAAGGAGGAGCACAGAUGGCACAUUCUUAGCAAAACCCUUUCUCAAGAACAUCCCUACUGAUGUAGCUAGUAACAGUUAAACUGGUUUAUACCCGAAGAAUACAGAGCUGUUCAAUCAUUUGGAUCAGCUUAGUACACUCGACCUUAUGAAUCCUACUUACACCACAAUUGCCUAAAAUUGAAGAAAACAUCUCCUCAGAGGCAAAAAGUGGAAAGAUCUAAGUUUUCUUAGUGCCAUGCAAUGGGUAUGGCAGUCACAAAGGAACUGACACGUGGCAUGGUACAAAAUGAUACACGAUCUUUAAAGAGUAUUUUAUAAAGGCUGUUCUUGGGAGGGAAGAUGCCACUUCUAAGUUGAACAUGAGAAGCCAUUACUGACGAAUGUGGCAUUUGCACCAUGAUAGUUCAGAACAAUGGGAAAUCUGUCACUUGGAAUGUUUGCACAAUUCUAUGCACUAAUACUGCUUUGAAAGGUUUGGCAACAGUGACAGGCAAAAAAAGAAGGAAAGUUAAUGUAAACCUAUCAACAGAAGGAUUUGUUACUUCAAAUUAACAACUGGAUGAAGCUCUGACCGUAACAUUAUAUUGGGAACAAUUUCUCUUUUUGAAGUGCAAUGAAGUACGAAUUAUCAGUAUCUUUCUACCUAUCCCAGCAGCUCACCUGCUGCAGAAAGAGUUGGUUGUUGGCAAUCCUCAUCAAGCAUAACUAACAAAGUCAAUUGACACAACAAGUUCUACGGCUGGCAUUAUUUGGAGAAUGUUUUGUUGGCCCCUAGUGCCUGAGGAUGUAUGAAGGCAUACUCUUUUUGAGCACAUGUAGACUCACAGUCCCUUCAUGCUGGUGUUCACCUACAGACCUAUGACAUUGGCACCUAACCCCAACAGGGAUACGCCGUUCAGCUGACAAAGAAGCUACUCAUGGACUCUAAGCCUCAGCUUUACCUGUUAGACAUCAUUAGAUAUAUAACCACGUGAUACCGACUUUUCCCCUCCUGUUUAAUGCAUAGGAAAGCACAGCACAUAUGCACUGGAUUUCAUGAACAAAGGCUGUUUGUGCAUUCUAUACCCUGACAUGCAGCAAGGCUGUCAUCCCAUCACCAAGACACUCCUGUGUCCCCCACACUUGGACUAUUGGUAGAGAGUGGCGAGGUGGCUGCAGGACACCAGGAUCGCUCACGUGGCUUGUAGGUUGUCACCUGUCCAUAUCUGAGAAGCAAGGAGCAAGCCACGAACUUCCAUCUUCAUCAUCUCUUAGGGGCAGAACAUGCAUCUGUGUACUGGAGGAAUAAAUAUGGAAAAAGCUUUGUAAG
Molecule: long non-coding RNA, 8521 nt
Filed under: Gallus gallus (chicken)
Lineage: Eukaryota; Metazoa; Chordata; Aves; Galliformes; Phasianidae
Description: lncRNA (ENSGALG00010002795.1)
Source: RNAcentral